This 830-nucleotide long non-coding RNA is filed under the name Homo sapiens (human). RNAcentral's name for it is "HSALNT0188852". Lineage: Eukaryota; Metazoa; Chordata; Mammalia; Primates; Hominidae. The record is from RNAcentral.
GGCGGAAGAGAGCAGGGCCCUGGGCAGGUGCUGAGCCAGGUCCUGCAGGUCACCCAGUCGCUUGAGUCCACGAAUGCUGGAGGCAGGCACUGGAGAGCCAGGGUGGUUCAGCCGCAGCUCCUCUGAGCAGGGAGUCAAACAGGGCUGAAACAGACACCAGCUCUCCAGGACCAGCUGGAGCCUGGACCUGUGGCCUUCCCUGCCUCCACCUGGGCCUCAACCGUCACGACCACCUGGCCUUUGAGGUGUAUCUCGUUUCUCAUCAUAAGAGCUCUUCCGCUCGUGUGGCAGCUGGGAGUGGCCGUCAUUGCCUGCGCAUACCUAAACUUGGUCAGCAGCCAAGUGUUUUGUGAGACCUAAGAAAGGAAGAGCCCCAUAAGUAAAUGGAACUGUUGUGUUGUUUUAUUACCGAGAAAAGGGCAGAAUGAUUGCUAGUCACACGUGAAGCAAGAAAACCCCGGCAAUAAAGCUUGCAGAAUGAGUGGCUGAGGCUUGAAAAUAAAUGGUGGAAACAAUAGUGGACAAUCUUUUAAAGAAUGGCACAUUGCCAAUGCUCCUGAUGGCACAGAAGGUGACACCAUGCAGAAAAUCAAGGCUCUGAGUCAAAGAGGGUUUCAGAAAAAUUGGACUCUGAAUGUGAAGAAAUCUGGGGACUAUUUUAGCCAAUUUGUUUUGCCUAUAAUUUCCUUUUAUGCAUGCAAAAGAGCAAUUCUGACUUUAAAGACUGAUAUCUAAAUAAAUCUAAAAUAUCUUUUUUGUGUGUGUGUCUGUGAUACAGUGUCUCGCCCUUUCACCCAGGCUGGAGUGCAGUAGUGCAAUCUCAGCUCACU